UACGGAAUGUGCAAACGUUAUUCGGAAUCACUGGGCUUAAAGAGUCCGUAGGCGGCCAACUAAGUCGGAUGUGAAAUCCCCAGGCUUAACCUGGGAACUGCAUCCGAUACUGGAUGGCUUGAAUCCGGGAGAGGGAUGCAGAAUUCCAGGUGUAGCGGUGAAAUGCGUAGAUAUCUGGAGGAAUACCGGUGGCGAAGGCGGCAUCCUGGACCGGCAUUGACGCUGAGUGAGCGAAAGCCAGGGGAGCAAACGGG
Molecule: ribosomal RNA, 254 nt
Filed under: uncultured bacterium
Lineage: Bacteria
Description: partial 16S ribosomal RNA
Rfam family: Bacterial small subunit ribosomal RNA
Source: RNAcentral